AAAGAUUAAGCCAUGCAUGUCUAAGUAUAAGCAAUUAUACAGCGAAACUGUGAAUGGCUCAUUAUAUAAGUUAUCGUUUAUUUGAUAGUACCUUACUACUUGGAUAACCGUGGUAAUUCUAGAGCUAAUACAUGCUAAAAAUCCCGACUUCGGAAGGGAUGUAUUUAUUAGAUUAAAAACCAAUGCCCUUCGGGGCUCUCUGGUGAUUCAUGAUAACUUCUCGAAUCGCACGGCCUUGUGCCGGCGAUGGUUCAUUCAAAUUUCUUCCCUAUCAACUUUCGAUGUUUGGGUCUUGGCCAAACAUGGUUG
RNAcentral lists this ribosomal RNA (309 nucleotides) under uncultured bacterium. RNAcentral describes it as "SSU rRNA". It matches the Rfam family "Eukaryotic small subunit ribosomal RNA", at positions 39 to 352 of the family's 1831-position model. RNAcentral also lists the same sequence under 1 other name. The record is from RNAcentral.